Molecule: ribosomal RNA, 254 nt
Filed under: uncultured bacterium
Lineage: Bacteria
Description: partial 16S ribosomal RNA
Rfam family: Bacterial small subunit ribosomal RNA
Source: RNAcentral
UACGUAGGGUGCAAGCGUUGUCCGGAAUUAUUGGGCGUAAAGAGCUCGUAGGCGGUCUGUCGCGUCGGCUGUGAAAACCCGGGGCUCAACCCCGGGCCUGCAGUCGAUACGGGCAGACUAGAGUGCGGUAGGGGAGACUGGAAUUCCUGGUGUAGCGGUGAAAUGCGCAGAUAUCAGGAAGAACACCCGUGGCGAAGGCGGCUCUCUGGGACGGUACUGACGGCUGAGGAGCGAAAGCGUGGGGAGCGAACAGG